This 81-nucleotide transfer RNA is filed under the name Chloroflexaceae bacterium. Its description in RNAcentral is "tRNA-Leu". It matches the Rfam family "tRNA". Rfam says of the family: Transfer RNA (tRNA) molecules are approximately 80 nucleotides in length. Lineage: Bacteria; Bacillati; Chloroflexota; Chloroflexia; Chloroflexales; Chloroflexaceae. The record is from RNAcentral.
GCGGAUGUGGUGGAAUUGGUAGACACGCACGCUUGAGGGGCGUGUGGCUAUGCCUUGCGAGUUCGAGUCUCGCCAUCCGCA